GAUGAAUGCUAAAGACUGGAAGACAUGAGAAUUGAGAACCAUGUCUUGAAAGAUAUCAGUAGGGG
Molecule: non-coding RNA, 65 nt
Organism: Nematostella vectensis (starlet sea anemone)
Lineage: Eukaryota; Metazoa; Cnidaria; Anthozoa; Actiniaria; Edwardsiidae
Source: Rfam